UACGUAGGGGGCAAGCGUUGUCCGGAUUUACUGGGCGUAAAGGGCGUGUAGGCGGCAUGUUAAGUUAGGUGUGAAAUUUCAGGGCUUAACCCUGAAACUGCGCCUAAAACUGGCAAGCUAGAGGGCAGGAGAGGGAAGUGGAAUUCCCGGUGUAGCGGUGGAAUGCGUAGAUAUCGGGAGGAACACCAGUGGCGAAGGCGGCUUCCUGGACUGUACCUGACGCUGAGGCGCGAAAGCUAGGGGAGCAAACAGGAUUAGAUACC
Molecule: ribosomal RNA, 263 nt
Filed under: uncultured bacterium
Lineage: Bacteria
Description: partial 16S ribosomal RNA
Rfam family: Bacterial small subunit ribosomal RNA
Source: RNAcentral